CCCUUAGAUGUUCUGGGCCGCACGCGCGCUACACUGAUGCAUUCAACGAGUCUAAAACCUGCUCUGAUAGGGGUGGGUAAUCUUUUGAAUGUGCAUCGUGAUUGGGAUAGAUGAUUGCAAUUUUUCAUCUUCAACAAGGAAUGCCUAGUAAACGCAAGUCAUCAGCUUGCAUUGAUUACGUCCCUGCCCUUUGUACACACCGCCCGUCGCUCCUACCGAUUGAAUGAUCCGAUGAAUAUCAUGGAUUGAGGAUGCAAGCAGGUUCGCCUGUCUUCAUCUUCGAGAAGUGAAGUAAAUCUUAUCAUUUAGAGGAAGGAGAAGUCGUAACA
Molecule: ribosomal RNA, 329 nt
Filed under: uncultured eukaryote
Lineage: Eukaryota
Description: partial 18S ribosomal RNA
Rfam family: Eukaryotic small subunit ribosomal RNA
Source: RNAcentral